This 240-nucleotide ribosomal RNA is filed under the name uncultured bacterium. RNAcentral's name for it is "partial 16S ribosomal RNA". It matches the Rfam family "Bacterial small subunit ribosomal RNA", at positions 94 to 334 of the family's 1533-position model. The record is from RNAcentral.
AGCGGCGGACGGGUGAGUAACGCGUGGGUAACCUGCCUCAUACAGGGGGAUAACAGUUAGAAAUGACUGCUAAUACCGCAUAAGACCACAGCACCGCAUGGUGCAGGGGUAAAAACUCCGGUGGUAUGAGAUGGACCCGCGUCUGAUUAGGUAGUUGGUGGGGUAACGGCCUACCAAGCCGACGAUCAGUAGCCGACUUGAGAGGGUGACCGGCCACAUUGGGACUGAGACACGGUCCAA